This 1512-nucleotide long non-coding RNA is filed under the name Anser cygnoides (Swan goose). RNAcentral describes it as "lncRNA (ENSACDG00005014688.1)". Lineage: Eukaryota; Metazoa; Chordata; Aves; Anseriformes; Anatidae. The record is from RNAcentral.
CCGCCGCGAGGGCUCCGACAUCAUCUACCCGGCCAAAAUCAGCCUCCGCGAGGCGCUGUGCGGGUGCACGGUGAACACGCCGACGCUGGACGGCCGCACCAUCCCCAUGGUCUUCAAGGACGUGCUGAAGCCCGGCGUCAAGCGGCGCAUCCCCGGCGAGGGGCUCCCGUACCCCAAAACCCCCGAGCAGCGCGGGGACCUCAUCAUCGAGUUCGAGGUCCGCUUCCCCGACAGGAUCCCCCCCUCCUCGAAGCCCAUCCUGGAGCAGAUCCUGCCCGUCUAGCGCCCGCCGUGCGGACUCGGGGGAGGGUUUUGGGGGGGGGUUCCCUUUUUUGUCAUCGCUUCGGGGUGGAGGGGUUCCGCCUUUUGUUUUGGGACCGGAGCGGGAGUUCGGGGUGCCCCCGGCGGAGAGGGGGCGCCGGGGGGGCACCGUUUGGCUGCGGGGGUGUGUGUGGGGGGGCGGCUGAGCCCCCAAAAGGAGCCCCCGGGGUGCACCCGGCUCCUGGCCGCGCGUGGGGACCUCGGCGCGGCCUCCUGGUGACCGGCUGGGGGUGAUGAGGGGCUCGCCGGGGGCUGGGGACCACCGCGGGGCCUCGCCCCGAGCACCUGUGGACCUCCUCGUGUCCCCCUCCCCACCAUCGGGGGGGGGGGCAAGGACCUCGCUGUGGCCUCACCGCCACCACCUGGGGGGACAGGGACCGCGCCGGGACUUCUUCGCCGUCAUCUCCACGUGCUGGGACCACGUCCUGUCCUGCUCCCUGCCAUUUGUGGGGGACAGGAACCUCGCUGUGACGUCUUCGCCGUCAUCUCCACGUUUUGGGACCACACCUUGUCGUCCUCCCCAUCAUUUGUGGGGGACAGGGACCGCGCCGGGACUUCUUCGCUGUCAUCUCCGCAUCCUGGGACCACGUCCUGUCCUCACCGCCACCACCUGGGGGGACAGGGACCGCGCUGUGACUUCUUCAGCACCAUCUCCGCGUUCUGGGACCGCGUCCUGUCCUGCUCACCAUCGUUUCUGGGUGACAGGGACCGCGCUGUGACUUCACCUCCACGUUCUGGGACCACGCCAUGUUCUCCUCCCCAUCAUUUGUGGGUGACAGGAACCACGCCGUGACUUCUUCGCCAUCAUCUCCACAUCCUGGGACCACGUCCUGUCCUCCUCCCCGCCACCUGGGGGUGACAAGGACCUCGCCGUGGCCUCACCACGAUGACCUUCAGGAGCUGGGGACCACCGCGGGGCCUGGCCACGUGCUGGGACCUCCUCGUGUCCUCACUGCCACCUCCUGGGGGGGGACAGGGACCUCACCGUGACCCCCCCCGGGACCUCCUCGCUGCCACCUCCGCGGGCCGGGACCACGAGGUGGCCUCCACCGCGCUGUCACUUCCCCGGGGCCGCCUGGGGGUGGCGGGGACACUUCUGGGACCCCCCCCGAUGCCACCUGGGGGGGGACAGGACCCCCGCCACCCCCCCCAGUCGUGCUCAGGACCGCGCUGCCCCUUCCUCAUCUCGCU